GACGAACGCUGGCGGCGUGCUUAACACAUGCAAGUCGAACGGAAAGGCCCUGCUUUUGUGGGGUGCUCGAGUGGCGAACGGGUGAGUAACACGUGAGUAACCUGCCCUUGACUUUGGGAUAACUUCAGGAAACUGGGGCUAAUACCGGAUAGGAGCUCCUGCUGCAUGGUGGGGGUUGGAAAGUUUCGGCGGUUGGGGAUGGACUCGCGGCUUAUCAGCUUGUUGGUGGGGUAGUGGCUUACCAAGGCUUUGACGGGUAGCCGGCCUGAGAGGGUGACCGGCCACAUUGGGACUGAGAUACGGCCCAGACUCCUACGGGAGGCAGCAGUGGGGAAUAUUGCACAGUGGGCGGAAGCCUGAUGCAGCAACGCCGCGUGCGGGAUGACGGCCUCCGGGUUGUAAACCGCUUUCGCCUGUGACGAAGCGUGAGUGACGGUAAUGGGUAAAGAAGCACCGGCUAACUACGUG
Molecule: ribosomal RNA, 468 nt
Filed under: uncultured bacterium
Lineage: Bacteria
Description: partial 16S ribosomal RNA
Rfam family: Bacterial small subunit ribosomal RNA
Source: RNAcentral